GUAACACUCAAAACAUGGCGGCACUCCCCUUUGGAGAACAGAAAGUGCCCCCACAGUUUGAGUGCCAC
Camelus ferus (Wild Bactrian camel) is the source of this 68-nucleotide microRNA precursor. It matches the Rfam family "mir-290 microRNA precursor family". Lineage: Eukaryota; Metazoa; Chordata; Mammalia; Artiodactyla; Camelidae. The record is from Rfam.